CUCCGAGGCGCUCCGAGCGGCCGCCGCCUCGGGCUGAAGGCCCGGGCUCCGCCAGCGGACGCGGCUCCCGCUCGGACUCCGGCUCAGCGCUCCCCUCCGCCGCCGCCGCAGCGCUACGUGGCCGCCCGCAGCCAGUCUCGCGACUCCGCCGCGCGCACGCGCGGGCACGCGCCGAGGAGGUGGUUGCCGCGGGCGCGCGCGGGGGGGAGACACCCAUAGGCUGAGGGGAGGGCGAGCGGCACGAGGCGCGCAGCGGCGCAUGCGCGGUUGCUUCCCCCCCCCUUCCCUCUCUAUUCAGCUUAGGCGGUGGAGGGGACGCGGAGCGCAGGUGAGCGCACGGUGGGGGGGAGCUGUGCGCAUGCGCAGCGCCCGGCGGGGUUCAGGUGAGGCGCGCGCGCGACGGAAGGAGGCGCCGAGCGGCGGCUGCCCCCGGCCGGGCCGACCGUUACUCCGCUGAGGGCCUGUGUGAUCUGAGAGGGAGUGAUGCGACAAGACAUGGAUUUCACUGAUAGAACUCGCAGCUUGGGGCAGAGAGAAAAACUGAAGGAGAACUCUUACCAAGGAUACAUCAUCCAGAAUGAGGCCAAAAGUUGCUGCUCUCUCUGUGAGGUCUUCACUCACUUGCCUGGAGACCAGUUCUCUUUGAGUGAUCAACUCUCCAGCAUCAAAGCGAGCCUGAGCGAGAAGAAAGCUCUCAGAAUCUCUGCUUGUCACCCAACUCCAUGAAAGUAAAGCCAAGUAGUUAGAAUGACAGGGAAGCAAUUAGCAUGGCUACAGUUUUAACUCUUCUGGAUUGCCUGUUAGAGCCAAGGAGUAGAAAGAGAAGCCUCAUUUUGGAGCUUUACAUUUUCCACAAUUCAGCAGGUCCCAUCAGUGCUAAAACAAAAGAGAGGUGAGGGGUGGAGCCCAGCAGCAUUCAUGCUAUUCUUACCACAACAGACUUGAGGAUUUCAGUUGUGAUGGAGGGCAGGACGCGCUCAUCGUAGUCCUCUCCAAUACUUGUGAAAAUCCGGGGUAACUGCGCAGUCACCGGUCUGAACAGGAUACGCAGUGUGAUGUUCACAUUCUGUAGAUCUGCAGAAAUAGUCACAAAUUUAGCAGCAGACCUCAUGGGCAGGAGAUAUCUUGAUGUUGUCCUCUCCAGAGGAAAGCAAAAUAAGACAAAAUAAACAUUCAGACUUCUGAGAAAGGAAAGGUUUUUAGUAUUUCUUUCACCAAGGACUGCUUUUCACCUAGGGAUCCAAAUGCUCCUUACAGAUUAAAUUUAAGCUUCAGUUUGUCUGUAAUGCAGGGAAUUACUGACCCUACUGCAAACAAAGAAAUUUCUUAUUUAAGGGACAAAUAUCAAACUAUUCCUGACUGCUAAACUCUGCACACAUUGAAUCUCCACGUUCAGAAAAGAAAGCCCUCAUGCCUAUAGUACUUUUCAGCAGGUUAACGAUCAUAAAAGUCUUGAUUGUGGGAAAGCUUCUUCUCAUGCCUCUGUUCACCCAGCUGCAAAGCAGCAAAAGAGUGAGACACACACACAGCACAUCAGACUGCCCAGAUCUUGUAGAGCUGCC
Molecule: long non-coding RNA, 1562 nt
Filed under: Gallus gallus (chicken)
Lineage: Eukaryota; Metazoa; Chordata; Aves; Galliformes; Phasianidae
Source: RNAcentral